ACACGACUACAUUAGAUACCCGUGUAGUCCUAGCCGUAAACGAUACUCGCUAGGUGUCGGCCACGGUGCGACCGUUGUCGGUGCCGUAGGGAAGCCGUGAAGCGAGCCACCUGGGAAGUACGGCCGUAAGGCUGAAACUUAAAGGAAUUGGCGGGGGAGCACAACAACGGGUGGAGCUUGCGGUUUAAUUGGAUUCAACGCCGGAAAUCUUACCGGGACCGACAGCAACAUGAAGGCCAAGCUGAAGACUUUGCCGGAUUAGCUG
This 265-nucleotide ribosomal RNA is filed under the name uncultured archaeon. RNAcentral describes it as "partial 16S ribosomal RNA". It matches the Rfam family "Archaeal small subunit ribosomal RNA", at positions 719 to 982 of the family's 1478-position model. The record is from RNAcentral.